AGUGAGAACCUUGCCCGCCGAAAGACCAAGGGUUCCUGGGCCAGGCCAGUCCGCCCAGGGUGAGUCGGGACCUAAGGCGAGGCCGACAGGCGUAGUCGAUGGACAACGGGUUGAUAUUCCCGUACCCGUGUGUGGGCGCCCGUGACGAAUCAGCGGUACUAACCACCCAAAACCGGAUCGAUCACUCCCCUUCGGGGGUGUGGAGUUCUGGGGCUGCGUGGGAACUUCGCUGGUAGUAGUCAAGCGAAGGGGUGACGCAGGAAGGUAGCCGUACCAGUCAGUGGUAACACUGGGGCAAGCCGGUAGGGAGAGCGAUAGGCAAAUCCGUCGCUCACUAAUCCUGAGAGGUGACGCAUAGCCGGUUGAGGCGAAUUCGGUGAUCCUCUGCUGCCAAGAAAAGCCUCUAGCGAGCACACACACGGCCCGUACCCCAAACCGACACAGGUGGUCAGGUAGAGCAUACCAAGGCGUACGAGAUAACUAUGGUUAAGGAACUCGGCAAAAUGCCCCCGUAACUUCGGGAGAAGGGGGACCGGAAUAUCGUGAACACCCUUGCGGUGGGAGCGGGAUCCGGUCGCAGAAACCAGUGAGGAGCGACUGUUUACUAAAAACACAGGUCCGUGCGAAGUCGCAAGACGAUGUAUACGGACUGACGCCUGCCCGGUGCUGGAAGGUUAAGAGGACCCGUUAACCCGCAAGGGUGAAGCGGAGAAUUUAAGCCCCAGUAAACGGCGGUGGUAACUAUAACCAUCCUAAGGUAGCGAAAUUCCUUGUCGGGUAAGUUCCGACCUGCACGAAUGGCGUAACGACUUCUCAACUGUCUCAACCAUAGACUCGGCGAAAUUGCACUACGAGUAAAGAUGCUCGUUACGCGCGGCAGGACGAAAAGACCCCGGGACCUUCACUACAACUUGGUAUUGAUGUUCGGUACGGUUUGUGUAGGAUAGGUGGGAGACUGUGAAACCUCGACGCCAGUUGGGGCGGAGUCGUUGUUGAAAUACCACUCUGAUCGUAUUGGGCAUCUAACCUCGAACCCUGAAUCGGGUUUAGGGACAGUGCCUGGCGGGUAGUUUAACUGGGGCGGUUGCCUCCUAAAAUGUAAC
This 1103-nucleotide ribosomal RNA is filed under the name Mycobacterium tuberculosis. RNAcentral's name for it is "bacterial LSU rRNA". It matches the Rfam family "Bacterial large subunit ribosomal RNA", at positions 1320 to 2301 of the family's 2925-position model. Lineage: Bacteria; Bacillati; Actinomycetota; Actinomycetes; Mycobacteriales; Mycobacteriaceae. The record is from RNAcentral.